RNAcentral lists this ribosomal RNA (370 nucleotides) under uncultured cyanobacterium. RNAcentral's name for it is "bacterial SSU rRNA". It matches the Rfam family "Bacterial small subunit ribosomal RNA", at positions 356 to 739 of the family's 1533-position model. Lineage: Bacteria; Bacillati; Cyanobacteriota. The record is from RNAcentral.
GGGAAUUUUUUCGCAAUGGGCGAAAGCCUGACGGAGCAAUACCGCGUGAGGGAGGAAGGCUCUUGGGUCGUAAACCUCUUUUCUCAGGGAAGAACACAAUGACGGUACCUGAGGAAUAAGCAUCGGCUAACUCCGUGCCAGCAGCCGCGGUAAUACGGAGGAUGCAAGCGUUAUCCGGAAUGAUUGGGCGUAAAGCGUCCGCAGGUGGCGAUGUAAGUCUGCUGUUAAAGAGUCUAGCUCAACUAGAUAAGAGCAGUGGAAACUACAUAGCUAGAGUACGUUCGGGGCAGAGGGAAUUCCUGGUGUAGCGGUGAAAUGCGUAGAGAUCAGGAAGAACACCAGUGGCGAAGGCGUCUCUGCUAGGCCGUAA